Molecule: ribosomal RNA, 497 nt
Filed under: uncultured bacterium
Lineage: Bacteria
Description: partial 16S ribosomal RNA
Rfam family: Bacterial small subunit ribosomal RNA
Source: RNAcentral
GACGAACGCUGGCGGCGUGCCUAAUACAUGCAAGUUGAGCGAUGAAGAUUGGUGCUUGCACCAAUUUGAAGAGCAGCGAACGGGUGAGUAACGCGUGGGGAAUCUGCCUUUGAGCGGGGGGCAACAUUUGGAAACGAAUGCUAAUACCGCAUAACAACUUUAAACAUAAGUUUUAAGUUUGAAAGAUGCAAUUGCAUCACUCAAAGAUGAUCCCGCGUUGUAUUAGCUAGUUGGUGAGGUAAAGGCUCACCAAGGCGAUGAUACAUAGCCGACCUGAGAGGGUGAUCGGCCACAUUGGGACUGAGACACGGCCCAAACUCCUACGGGAGGCAGCAGUAGGGAAUCUUCGGCAAUGGACGAAAGUCUGACCGAGCAACGCCGCGUGAGUGAAGAAGGUUGUCGGAUCGUAAAACUCGGUUGGUAGAGAAGAACGUUGGUGAGAGUGGAAAGCUCAUCAAGUGACGGUAACUACCCAGAAAGGGACGGCUAACUACGUG